Molecule: long non-coding RNA, 457 nt
Organism: Pseudopipra pipra
Lineage: Eukaryota; Metazoa; Chordata; Aves; Passeriformes; Pipridae
Exons: 2
Source: RefSeq, a predicted model, not a curated record
AACAGAGGUUCUCUUAACAGACAGGGACUUCUGAGGAACAGGAACUCUUCAAUUCCUCUAAAGAGAAAUCCCAGAAGUCUGCCUCUGAAAGUUAUAUGAAUCAAGUCCACUAAAGGUUUGAGAGAAUUUCUCAGGAGUGCCGGUACCCUUGGGAGAUGGGCCCAACCUCAGUGUACACAGCAGAUAGCUUUCCAAGGGGCAAAGCAGGAGCAGAAGCCCAUGGGAGAUGCCAGCUCUCUGCCCCAGCCAGCCACAGGGAGCAGGCUCAUCCCCAGCCCAUGUAAUGCAGCAGACCACAUGGCACAUGCUCAGAGAAAGGAACUGGAGAAGUACAGUAGGAGAAGAAGAAGGAGGAAGCAGACGGAAGAGGAGAAACCUAAGAACCACACUGCCAUCUGUGGGAUGACGACAGACUGUAUCAGUUUCUUCGAUUAGAAAAAACCCCCAGUUCACAGAA